Molecule: long non-coding RNA, 2577 nt
Filed under: Homo sapiens (human)
Lineage: Eukaryota; Metazoa; Chordata; Mammalia; Primates; Hominidae
Description: HSALNT0053250
Source: RNAcentral
GGGCAAGGAGAUCACUAAAAUAAAGUUACUUUGAGAAAUGAGGAAGCUAAGCUUGUGAAUAGGCUCCACAUGAGGACUGAGGUGUUUGCAAUUGGAGUGGGAAGAAAGAGAGGGAGCCCAGAACCCGAGAGUGUGGCUGCAAGUCUCCCAGGAACAGUGCUUAAGCAUGGGAAUGUGAUCAAACAGAGCUGUGACCUUGGCCCUCAACACAGGGAUCCACUGUGGUCCAGACCAGCAAGGGCUAUCCAAACCACACAAGGCCAGUCUUCAACAGCCCCACCAUGAAGCAGCAGAUAAAUAGGAAACAUAGUUCAAUGCAUUCUGCUUGCUGUGUGAAAAAACAGGAUGCACGCCACUGGACUAAGCUUCAAAAGGUACAGAGAGAGGACUACCCUCCCAACUCAUUGCACCCACCCCGCCCAGGAUCUGUGCUGACCAUCAGGUCUGCGUUCAGAGGCAGCCAAGCAACAGGUGGGAGUCUCAGAUGCAAAGUACAUAAGCAUUGCUUUCAACUGACUGUUGCCUGCUCUUGUUCUUACAAAUGAAAGAAUAACCAGGAGGGAAAUCAAGACACUGAAUUUACAAAUGGACAAUGGCCAGACCAUAUAUGACGACAGAACUCUGACCCACAAACUCUACAGGAACUACCCAGAACAAUAACUUGGGGAGCUAUUAGAAGAUACUCCAUGAGAAAGGUGUUUUGUGGUUGAAAGAAGUUGAGAAACAAAGCAACAUAUUCUAAUGCUGGGAGCCUGGAAAAUAAAAGGAAGCAAGAGAGAGAAAAAUGCACUCAAAAUUGUCUGCCUUUGGGGACUCAACUGGAGAAAGAAGAUCUGGUAUGCAUCAAGGAUAAAAUAUUGUAAGAAAAAAGUUAUCUAGAAAUCUCAACACUAAAGUAUCAAAAAUGCCAAAUUUAUCUUAAAUAGACUUUUUUCCUAAUGAUCUUUCAUAUUUCAAAUCAUGCAAAUAGAACAAUCAACGGAUGACUGGCCCUGGUAUCUAUGGUGAUGACAGCAUCUACAGAGCAAUGGACAACCAACCAAUUAAAAACAUCACACGAGCUGAAUUCUCACAUGAGAGGCAGUGAGAUGCAGAGCAUACUGUGUGGGGCAGUCAUUAUUUUUUCACCUGUUGGGAAUCAUCACUUUCUCAUAACACACCCCAUCACCCCAGCUCCUGGGAAGGACCCAGGUGCAGCCAUCACAGCAUCUAACACCCAGGUUAGAGUGACUGCUUCAGUCACAGUAAAGUGACUACUCUCAAGAGGUAACCUGAGAAAUUAGGUUUACGAUUUAGUUCAGGAAUAUUCAUUGAACCACUGAGAAAGAGUAGCUACUGGUAAAAUUUUUGUUCUAUUUGCCACAAAUAGAAUAAAAGCUGAAUCUGCUUACAGUAAUCUUGCCUGAGAACAAAGGUAAAUGAUGUGUAAGAAAUCUCUGCAAAUCAUUUAGUUCAUGAUUUUGCAGGAUGCCAAUAUGAGCAUAGCACACGUGAAUGGUUUUCCUGAUCUUGUCUGGACUCACUUCAUACAUCUGUGGGCAGCCCCCUAGAUUAGCUGGGCCUGGCUGGUCUAGGAUGGCUUGUCUGACUUCCAUGGAAUCUCUUCUUAUCCAGCAGACAAGUCCAGGCUUAUUCACACAGCAGAAGCAUGGUUCCAAAAAAGUGAGUGGAAGCGUGCAAGGCCUCUUGAGGCCCAGGCUCAGAACUGUCAUGGUGUCAGUUUCUCCACAUUCUGUUAGUUGAAACAGGUCACAAAGCCAGCCCUGAUUUAAAGGGGUAGGGAAAUAGACCCCAUCUCCAUAUGGGAGGAGCUGCAAAGUCACAUUGCAUGGAGGUCUAGAUAUAGGAAAGGAAAUAAUUUUGGUCAUUUUUUAAUAAAUAAUCUACCAUAGUCCAUUUUCUGGCUACAAUUAUUCAUGUCCCUCCUACAUGCAAAAUACACUUACUUCUUCCUGAGACUUCCGUUUAUCUGGAUCAGAGUCCAGGACUUUUGGACCUGCAUUCUGCCAUACGAGGUUUCCCACGAUUAGAGACCUAUGAACUAAAAAAACAAGUUAUGUGCCCUCAAUGUACCCAACAAACAAGUGUGAGACUGGGACAGGAUAGCCACAAGAGACUUCCCCAUUCAAAAUAUGCUGUCAAUGGAAAUUCAUGCUAUGAAAAAACCUUGCACAUUUUACAGAGCACAGGAAUUCAUCACAGAGCAAAAGAUGCUGCAGAAGUGCAGGCUGAACAGAAAAGUUGCAGCAGGAGGCUGUGGAUGGCACUAAGGCAUUUUUAAAGUAGCUCUCAUGUUUCUAGUUUCUGCAGAUGCUGACAUAACAAAUUCUGAUUCUAAGUUACUUGGCCAGAUUCCUUUCUACAUGUCAACAAGGAUUUUCUGGUAAAUAAAACAUUCAUGCAUUUUUUUAUUAGCACUUGAUGCUUUUUUUUGAAGUUGUUGCCAUUUUAAAGUGAUAAGUAUAUACCCCAAAUCCUGAUAUUCUGUAUAAUAUUUGAUGAGUGAAAGGUUUAUUUUGUGUUUUAUCAUUAAACCUUUAGAGUUUUCCAUAAUAUGUUUUUCUUUUCUGUUUUCCG